UGUCUAAGUAUAAGCAACUAUACUGUGAAACUGCGAAUGGCUCAUUAAAUCAGUUAUCGUUUAUUUGAUAGUACCUUACUACUUGGAUAACCGUGGUAAUUCUAGAGCUAAUACAUGCUAAAAACCCCGACUUCGGGAGGGGUGUAUUUAUUAGAUAAAAAACCAAUGCCCUUCGGGGCUCUUUGGUGAGUCAUGAUAACUUAACGAAUCGCAUGGCCUUGCGCCGGCGAUGGUUCAUUCAAAUUUCUGCCCUAUUAACUUUCGAUGGUAGGAUAGAGGCCUACCAUGGUAUCAAUGGGUAACGGGGAAAUUAGGGUUCUAUUCCGGAGAGGGAGCCUGAGAAACGGCUACCACAUCCAAGGAAGGCAGCAGGCGCGCAAAUUACCCAAUCCCGACACGGGGAGGUAGUGACAAUAAAUACUGAUACAGGGCUCUUUUGGGUCUUGUAAUUGGAAUGAGUACAAUUUAAAUACCUUAACGAGGAACAAUUGGAGGGCAAGUCUGGUGCCAGCAGCCGCGGUAAUUCCAGCUCCAAUAGCGUAUAUUAAAGUUGUUGCAGUUAAAAAGCUCGUAGUUGAACCUUGGGCCUGGCUGGCCGUUCCGCCUCACCGCGUGUACUGGUCCGGCCGGGCCUUUCCUUCUGGGGAUCCGCAUGGCCUUCACUGGCUGUGUCGGGGAACCAGGACUUUUACUUUGAAAAAAUUAGAGUGUUCAAAGCAGGCCUUUGCUCGAAUACAUUAGCAUGGAAUAAUAGAAUAGGACGUGCGGUCCUAUUUUGUUGGUUUCUAGGACCGCCGUAAUGAUUAAUAGGGAUAGUCGGGGGCAUCAGUAUUCAAUUGUCAGAGGUGAAAUUCUUGGAUUUAUUGAAGACUAACUACUGCGAAAGCAUUUGCCAAGGAUGUUUUCAUUAAUCAGUGAACGAAAGUUAGGGGAUCGAAGACGAUCAGAUACCGUCGUAGUCUUAACCGUAAACUAUGCCGACUAGGGAUCGGGCGAUGUUAUUCUUUUGACUCGCUCGGCACCUUACGAGAAAUCAAAUCUUUGGUUCUGGGGGAGUAUGUCGCAAGGUGAA
Molecule: ribosomal RNA, 1072 nt
Filed under: Botryosphaeria corticis
Lineage: Eukaryota; Fungi; Ascomycota; Dothideomycetes; Botryosphaeriales; Botryosphaeriaceae
Description: SSU rRNA
Rfam family: Eukaryotic small subunit ribosomal RNA
Source: RNAcentral